UACGUAGGUGGCAAGCGUUUUCCGGAAUUAUUGGGCGUAAAGCGCGCGCAGGCGGUUAUGUAAGUCUGAUGUUAAAGCCCGGGGCUCAACCUCGGUUCGCAUUGGAAACUGUGUAACUUGAGUGCAGAAGAGGAAAGUGGUAUUCCACGUGUAGCGGUGAAAUGCGUAGAUAUGUGGAGGAACACCAGUGGCGAAGGCGACUUUCUGGUCUGUAACUGACGCUGAGGUGCGAAAGCGUGGGGAGCAAACAGG
This 252-nucleotide ribosomal RNA is filed under the name uncultured bacterium. RNAcentral describes it as "partial 16S ribosomal RNA". It matches the Rfam family "Bacterial small subunit ribosomal RNA", at positions 524 to 776 of the family's 1533-position model. The record is from RNAcentral.